GUGGGGAAUAUUGGACAAUGGGCGCAAGCCUGAUCCAGCCAUGCCGCGUGAGUGAUGAAGGCCUUAGGGUUGUAAAGCUCUUUCAGUGGGGACGAUAAUGACGGUACCCACAGAAGAAGCCCCGGCUAACUUCGUGCCAGCAGCCGCGGUAAUACGAAGGGGGCUAGCGUUGUUCGGAUUUACUGGGCGUAAAGCGCACGUAGGCGGAGUGGUCAGUUAGAGGUGAAAUCCUGGAGCUCAACUCCAGAACUGCCUUUAAUACUGCCAGUCUAGAGUCCAGAAGAGGUGAGUGGAACUCCUAGUGUAGAGGUGGAAUUCGUAGAUAUUAGGAAGAACACCAGUGGCGAAGGCGGCUCACUGGUCUGGUACUGACGCUGAGGUGCGAAAGCGUGGGGAGCAAACAGGAUUAGAAACCCUAGUAGUCC
Molecule: ribosomal RNA, 425 nt
Filed under: uncultured bacterium
Lineage: Bacteria
Description: bacterial SSU rRNA
Rfam family: Bacterial small subunit ribosomal RNA
Source: RNAcentral